Molecule: ribosomal RNA, 1745 nt
Filed under: Campylobacter coli
Lineage: Bacteria; Pseudomonadati; Campylobacterota; Epsilonproteobacteria; Campylobacterales; Campylobacteraceae
Description: partial 23S ribosomal RNA
Rfam family: Bacterial large subunit ribosomal RNA
Source: RNAcentral
AAAAAAGGUAAGCUACUAAGAGCGAAUGGUGGAUGCCUUGACUGGUAAAGGCGAUGAAGGACGUACUAGACUGCGAUAAGCUACGGGGAGCUGUCAAGAAGCUUUGAUCCGUAGAUUUCCGAAUGGGGCAACCCAAUGUAUAGAGAUAUACAUUACCUAUAUAGGAGCGAACGAGGGGAAUUGAAACAUCUUAGUACCCUCAGGAAAAGAAAUCAAUAGAGAUUGCGUCAGUAGCGGCGAGCGAAAGCGCAAGAGGGCAAACCCAGUGCUUGCACUGGGGGUUGUAGGACUGCAAUGUGCAAGAGGUGAGUUUAGCAGAACAUUCUGGAAAGUAUAGCCAUAGAGGGUGAUAGUCCCGUAUGCGAAAAACAAACCUUAGCUAGCAGUAUCCUGAGUAGGGCGGGACACGAGAAAUCCUGUCUGAAGCUGGGUCGACCACGAUCCAACCCUAAAUACUAAUACCAGAUCGAUAGUGCACAAGUACCGUGAGGGAAAGGUGAAAAGAACUGAGGUGAUCAGAGUGAAAUAGAACCUGAAACCAUUUGCUUACAAUCAUUCAGAGCCCUAUGUAGCAAUACAGGGUGAUGGACUGCCUUUUGCAUAAUGAGCCUGCGAGUUGUGGUGUCUGGCAAGGUUAAGCAAACGCGAAGCCGUAGCGAAAGCGAGUCUGAAUAGGGCGCUUAGUCAGAUGCUGCAGACCCGAAACGAAGUGAUCUAUCCAUGAGCAAGUUGAAGCUAGUGUAAGAACUAGUGGAGGACUGAACCCAUAGGCGUUGAAAAGCCCCGGGAUGACUUGUGGAUAGGGGUGAAAGGCCAAUCAAACUUCGUGAUAGCUGGUUCUCUCCGAAAUAUAUUUAGGUAUAGCGUUGUGUCGUAAUAUAAGGGGGUAGAGCACUGAAUGGGCUAGGGCAUACACCAAUGUACCAAACCCUAUCAAACUCCGAAUACCUUAUAUGUAAUCACAGCAGUCAGGCGGCGAGUGAUAAAAUCCGUCGUCAAGAGGGAAACAACCCAGACUACCAGCUAAGGUCCCUAAAUCUUACUUAAGUGGAAAACGAUGUGAAGUUACUUAAACAACCAGGAGGUUGGCUUAGAAGCAGCCAUCCUUUAAAGAAAGCGUAAUAGCUCACUGGUCUAGUGAUUUUGCGCGGAAAAUAUAACGGGGCUAAAGUAAGUACCGAAGCUGUAGACUUGCGCACAACUUAGAUUAUUUAAGUUUAGAAUAUGAGAAACUAAGUUAUAUGUUUAGUUAUAUUUUUACUGAUUUUUAUAGAGUAAAGAUAGAAAUAAAACUUAGUAAAAUCAGUAAAAAUAUUCUUAGACUAAAGUUAAGUAGUUUAAGUUGUGUGCAAGUGGUAGGAGAGCGUUCUAUUUGCGUCGAAGGUAUACCGGUAAGGAGUGCUGGAGCGAAUAGAAGUGAGCAUGCAGGCAUGAGUAGCGAUAAUUAAUGUGAGAAUCAUUAACGCCGUAAACCCAAGGUUUCCUACGCGAUGCUCGUCAUCGUAGGGUUAGUCGGGUCCUAAGUCGAGUCCGAAAGGGGUAGACGAUGGCAAAUUGGUUAAUAUUCCAAUACCAACAUUAGUGUGCGAUGGAAGGACGCUUAGGGCUAAGGGGGCUAGCGGAUGGAAGUGCUAGUCUAAGGUCGUAGGAGGUUAUACAGGCAAAUCCGUAUAACAAUACUCCGAGAACUGAAAGGCUUUUUGAAGUCUUCGGAUGGAUAGAAGAACCCCUGAUGCCGUCGAGCC